Molecule: ribosomal RNA, 1341 nt
Filed under: uncultured bacterium
Lineage: Bacteria
Description: bacterial SSU rRNA
Rfam family: Bacterial small subunit ribosomal RNA
Source: RNAcentral
GACGAACGCUGGCGGCGUGCUUACACAUGCAAGUCGAACGGAAAGGCCCUGCUUGCAGGGUACUCGAGUGGCGAACGGGUGAGUAACACGUGGGUGAUCUGCCCUGCACUUCGGGAUAAGCCUGGGAAACUGGGUCUAAUACCGGAUAGGAGCCAUUUUUAGUGUGAUGGUUGGAAAGUUUUUUCGGUGUAGGAUGAGCUCGCGGCCUAUCAGCUUGUUGGUGGGGUAAUGGCCUACCAAGGCGGCGACGGGUAGCCGGCCUGAGAGGGUGGACGGCCACAUUGGGACUGAGAUACGGCCCAGACUCCUACGGGAGGCAGCAGUGGGGAAUAUUGCACAAUGGGCGCAAGCCUGAUGCAGCGACGCCGCGUGGGGGAUGACGGCCUUCGGGUUGUAAACUCCUUUCGCUAGGGACGAAGCUUUUGUGACGGUACCUAGAUAAGAAGCACCGGCUAACUACGUGCCAGCAGCCGCGGUAAUACGUAGGGUGCGAGCGUUGUCCGGAUUUAUUGGGCGUAAAGGGCUCGUAGGUGGUUGAUCGCGUCGGAAGUGUAAUCUUGGGGCUUAACCCUGAGCGUGCUUUCGAUACGGGUUGACUUGAGGAAGGUAGGGGAGAAUGGAAUUCCUGGUGGAGCGGUGGAAUGCGCAGAUAUCAGGAGGAACACCAGUGGCGAAGGCGGUUCUCUGGGCCUUUCCUGACGCUGAGGAGCGAAAGCGUGGGGAGCGAACAGGCUUAGAUACCCUGGUAGUCCACGCUGUAAACGGUGGGUACUAGGUGUGGGGUCCAUUCCACGGGUUCCGUGCCGUAGCUAACGCUUUAAGUACCCCGCCUGGGGAGUACGGCCGCAAGGCUAAAACUCAAAGGAAUUGACGGGGCCCCGCACAAGCGGCGGAGCAUGCGGAUUAAUUCGAUGCAACGCGUAGAACCUUACCUGGGUUUGACAUGGAUCGGGAGUGCUCAGAGAUGGGUGUGCCUCUUUUGGGGUCGGUUCACAGGUGGUGCAUGGCUGUCGUCAGCUCGUGUCGUGAGAUGUUGGGUUAAGUCCCGCAACGAGCGCAACCCUUGUUCACUGUUGCCAGCACGUUAUGGUGGGGACUCAGUGGAGACCGCCGGGGUCAACUCGGAGGAAGGUGGGGAUGACGUCAAGUCAUCAUGCCCCUUAUGUCCAGGGCUUCACGCAUGCUACAAUGGCUGGUACAGAGAGUGGCGAGCCUGUGAGGGUGAGCGAAUCUCGGAAAGCCGGUCUCAGUUCGGAUUGGGGUCUGCAACUCGACCUCAUGAAGUCGGAGUCGCUAGUAAUCGCAGAUCAGCAACGCUGCGGUGAAUACGUUCCCGGGGCU